AGUUAAUUAGCUUAAUUAAAGCAUGUAUUUUGAAAGUACAAGAUUAAGACAUAAAUAUCUUAUUAACUU
This 69-nucleotide transfer RNA is filed under the name Alloeorhynchus sp. RNAcentral describes it as "tRNA-Ser". The record is from RNAcentral. Lineage: Eukaryota; Metazoa; Arthropoda; Insecta; Hemiptera; Nabidae.